This 4662-nucleotide long non-coding RNA is filed under the name Sus scrofa (pig). RNAcentral's name for it is "lncRNA (ENSSSCG00055020011.1)". Lineage: Eukaryota; Metazoa; Chordata; Mammalia; Artiodactyla; Suidae. The record is from RNAcentral.
UGGCAGGGUGGGGGUGGGGGGCAGCAGAUCAGAGCUGGGUGGGGAAAGUCAGAGGGAGACGGAAGGGAAAGAAUAUAUGUUUCCUAUUUAUUUUGGACAGCGAGAUAUACCUGUUCAAGGUAAUACCUCUGUCCUAAUUUCAAGUUCAAGCUAGAUAAUUCCCUUAUAUACUUGGAGCUUUAUUUCCUUUUCUUUAUUAAAGAAAAAGAAAAAACCAACUCAAAGCAUUCCUGCUAGAGACAUACUUCUGCUCCCUUUACUUAUAAAAUUACUCAAUUUGAAAUGUACCAAAAAAUUUCCAAACUUAAAUUGGUGAAAAUUCCUUCCCUGGGACUUUUUGCCCCAGACUCUUUGCCCCAGAAAGAGACCUCAAAAACCUAAACCUCUAGUGCCAGGCAGACCUUUGUUUCAAAGCCUGGUUAGGCAAGUCCGUAGAACCUCCUUGUCUCUCCUUCUCUCCUUCUUAAGUAUAAGUUUGGCCUUGCAUCCAGGUAUCUGGUUCUGGUUAUCCCUGUGCAGUGUUUAGUAAUAACCAGGGUGGUAGCCAGCAUGGAUACAAACCCUCUUCUGAAUAUUAACAGAUGGUCCAGUUUCCAAGAAAUGGGUAUUCAGAGGGGAUGUAGUCAUAGUCGGCUGCGUACCUGGCUGACACCUGAGGCCAAGAUUUGUUAGUCUCUAAGCCUAUGUUCACAGCGUUGCCGGGAGUACCACUGCCCUACCUGGGAGAGGGAAGGGAUUUUGAGAGGUUCUCCAUUAUGUGCUCAGAAGUUGGCAAGCAGUGGCAGGAAUAACCACACACAGCAGACCAACAAUAGACUUUCAGAGAUGACUCUGGAAACCACUGACCAGCAGCUUGGGCCUUCCCAUUUAGAUAUUGCUUAAUAAAUUUUAUUAUUUCCUAUGCUAUUUUAUUCCCUAAGCAGCUAGAAGGAGAGGGAAGCAAUUCAGGUAGGAACGAAAGGGGGCCAGAGAAAAUCUAUGCACAUGUAAACCAAUUUUGGCCCUUGGGUGAGGCACCCUGUCUUUUCCCUUUUCUGCCUCCCUUUCUGCUCCUGCUCCUCUUUCUCUGUACUGUGUGGGCAUCAAGCAGGUUCUAAAGGGAGGUCUAGUAAUUACUCUGUGGGAUAAUUUGUUGUGUGGGAUGUUUGCUGUAUAGAAUGAAAUAAUGGCGUCAUUGUAGAAUGGACUUCAGAACUGAGGUUCUGGAGUGACACUAUAGAAAUGCAAUUUCUGAUUCCCUUGUGUUCAAUCUCAGUGAACUGGGACAGGUGAUUGCCCCUCCCUGGGCCUUCCUUUUAUCACCCAUGGCAGGAAGAGGGUGGUGGUCCUGACUUCAUGGUAUUGUUGGGAUGACUCAAUCAGAUAACACACAGGAAGGGCUCAGCCCUGUGCCCGGGUAUUGUAAUUCCAUUCCAAAAAUCAAAUAGCUUGUGUAUGGUCAUGGCCAUAAGGUGAGCAUGUUUACAGAUCUGUGGGCACUCUUCCUGCCACCAGCGUCACCAACUGCUCCAUCCCUUGUUCCAUCAAAUACAUGUGGACCACCAUUCAUACCUAAGUCAUGGGAAGUGGCGGCAAAUGGGAGGCAAACAUGAAUGGCUGGUGGGCUGGGCAUGCAAAGGAAAUGAAGGGAAGAGAAAUAGCCUGUGGCCCGAGUUUUAAUUCAAUAAAUAUUUACUAAACUCACACCAUCCUCCAGGUAUAAGAACAGGGUAUAAAAAGUCAUGGAGGACACAGAUAUGAUCCCUGCCCAUAAGGGCAGAACUCUUAUAAUUAAGAUUUAGGAAAGGUAUAAAUGUGUAGGAAGGAUAUUUGGAUAGAGAAAGGAAAGCCAGGGAAGGGGGGUUUAAAAAGAAAACACAAAAGAAAACUAGGAUGGAGCAGAUGGAGGUACAGGCAUAUAAAUUACAUACAAUUAGACAUCAGGCCUGGCUUUUAAACUGUCCUGCCUAGAAUGUCCUCUCUGUCAUCCUAGGCUGAUGAAAUAUAACACAAUAUCCACCCCCAGUGCCACAUCCUCUGAGAAGUCUUUCAGCAUCAGAAGCAGACAGAAGGGAUCUCACUGUCUGUUUGUGUGUCUCUCUCCUUCUCUCCCUCCCCUCUCCCCCAUCUCUCUGUCUUUCUUUCUCUCUUUCUCGCUUUCUCUGCUACUCCUCUAAGUGUUAAUACAUUGUCAGGAUAAGAUUCCUAUAGCACUUACUGUAAACCACUUUGACUAUUUAGACCAGCUGUCUGUGCUGCUCAGACUUCAUGUGAAAAUGUCUGUAGUGACUCAGUGCUUCCUGACUGAUGGCAGCCACACCGUUGAACCCCAGAGUCACAGGCGGCAUUUGCCUACCCAGAUUCCCAUGUGCUUACAAACACAGCUGUAUACAAAUUACAAAACCACGAACUAUUUACCUUUUCUUCCCAACCCGUUAUGGCUACAUGAUCUUAUUGAAGACCCGACUAGGGAACUUCAACAUGACACCAGGAGGUGCAGCUGUGUUUCUAAAUGCUGCAAGAGGCUCAAAUAAUUCAGAGUUUACAUGAGAUGCCUCUCAGUAUUAACAAGGUGUGGGAUAAACUGUUUACUGAUGAAGGCUACGCCUUCAGGUAAGAUGAACACUUCUCAGCAGCUUGCGUUUUGACACUGGCAAAGCAAGUGGUCAUAGCCAAUUUUCUUGGAGGCCCAAAGGCUGUUUAUCUUCCUAAGAAGCCAAUUACAAGCAAGCAUCAGAAAUAUAUAGCCCAAAAAGAGGCCAAGUGUUUAGCUUCUGCCAGAAGGACCAGAAUCUCAACUCACGACAUGCAAACACUAAGGAUGUUUGUUUUCAUCUUCUUUACCAGGGAGAUAAAUGUCGUUUACUCUUUUAAGAGGAUCUUUUAAGGCCAUUUAUUUCUCUUGACUUCGAGUAGAAGCUGCAGAGAGGGACGAGUGGUGUUUAAAACCUGGGUCCAUUUUGUGAGGAAGCGGGCCUCGGGCCAUGUGCUAGUGCUAUGGGGCCUCGAUGGGAAUUCCCAGGUUUUACUCUAGGAGCCGAGCUAGGUCAGCAGAGACAGGCCAUGUUUACUGAGGAAAGCUCAUCUCAGCAGAUUUACUUCUCUGUCCAGAAAAGGGCAUUUUGUUGUGAUCUUUCUUGGACUUUACCCUUAUAGACUUGGAUGGACCAUUAACUGAUGUAGAAACAGCUGAAAAUCCCACAUUGGCUGUGUGUAACACGUACUUCUCUCAGGUCUUUAUUUUCUUUACCUUUUGAUCUUGCAAGAUAAAGGCAAAAGAUUCUGUAUAUGCCCUGUCUCGUCAGCCACCCUGGUGGGGCAUUUACAAAGAGAAUGACCAUAAGAGCUUCUUAAUCUUUUUGCUGGUGAAUUGCUAGAAAAUGCUAGAAUACUUGAUUUUGGCUUGGCCCCAGGUCCAUUUUACAUGCCAGACACAGCAGGGCUGAAUUUGUUCGUGUUCACUUGAGGACAGGGAAGCAGAGGAAGUUGUGUAAGGGGUUUGGAAAUGGAUGUGGUGAGGGGGUGGGACCUGGGGGAGGGCCACUGCAAAUCUCUAACAAAAGGUAGUUUAUUUGUUCCACAGAAUAUGCCUUUCAGGAAAAGGCCAUUUCUAACGUACAGCAAGCUGCAGUGAGGGGAGAUGGCAAAGAUAGGGAACUGCUUUGUGUUUCUAAUUCAGUGAACUUAGAGCGUCUGAUCUUACUGUUAAAUUCAGCAAGGAAAAACUAAUCCACCUAUCCACAGUGAAGAUAUUUGAUGGGGAAGAAAUAGGAUGGAGAUAAGAUAACGACUGAACUCAAAAGAGAGUGAUAUAAUGCAGAAGAAAAAUUAGACUUUAUCUCUUGCCUUGUAUACAAAUCAAAUCAAAAUGGAUUGAAGAUGUAAAUAGAAGACCUGAAACUGUAAAACCAUUAGAGGAAAACACAAGGAAAAAAACUCCUUGACAUGGAUCUGAGCAAUGAUUUUGGUGGGGGUUGGGAGCAAAUAGCAUAGGCCACAAAAGAAAUAACAGGCAAGUGGGUUGCAUCAAACUCAAAAGCUUCUGAACAGUCAGGAGACAGCCUAUGGUGUGGGAGAACAUACAUAGGAUAAGGGGUUAAUAUCCAAAAUAUGUAAAGAACUCAAACAAUUCAAUAACAAGAAAACAAAUAAGCUGACUGAAAAAGAGACACAGGACCUGAGUAGACACUUCUCACAAGAAGGCAUACAAGUGGCCAACAGAUAUUCAAAAGGUGCUGAACAUCACUGAUCAGGGAAGUGCAAAUCAAAAUCACAGUGAGAUGUCUCAUACCUGUCAGAUGUGGUGCAGUAGGUUAAGGAUCUGGCAUUGCUACAGCUGUGGCAUAUGUCUCAGCCAUGGCUCAGAUUUGAUCUCUGGCCUGGAAACUUCCAUAUGCCAUGGAUGUGGCUGGAAAAAAAAGAUAAUGAAACAACCCAAGUGUAUGUUGAAGAAUACAUGGAUAAAAAAUGUGUUUUAUAUGUGUGUGUGUGUGUGUGUGUUAUAUAUGCACACAUACAGACACACAUGCAUACUAUACAAUGUUAUUACAAUAUUAUUUAGCCAUGAGAAAGAAGGAAAUCCUGCCACUAGUGGUAACAUGGGGCCUGGAAGAGAAUAUGCUGGGUGAAACAAGCCAGAAACAGAAAGAAAAAUACUGUAUGAUCUCACUUAUAUGUGGAAUC